RNAcentral lists this ribosomal RNA (429 nucleotides) under uncultured bacterium. RNAcentral describes it as "bacterial SSU rRNA". It matches the Rfam family "Bacterial small subunit ribosomal RNA", at positions 355 to 775 of the family's 1533-position model. The record is from RNAcentral.
UGAGGAAUAUUGCGCAAUGGGGGAAACCCUGACGCAGCAACGCCGCGUGAGUGAGGAAGGUUUUCGGACUGUAAAGCUCUGUCGAGCGGGAAUAAAUGUAUAAUGGCUAAUAUCCUUUAUACUUGAAGGUACCGCUAGAGGAAGCACCGGCUAACUCCGUGCCAGCAGCCGCGGUAAUACGGGGGGUGCGAGCGUUGUUCGGAAUUAUUGGGCGUAAAGAGCGUGUAGGCGGCUGGAUAAGUCAGAUGUGAAAUCCCUGGGCUUAACCCAGGAAGUGCAUUUGAAACUGUUCAGCUGGAGUAAGGGAGAGGAAAGUGGAAUUCCUGGUGUAGAGGUGAAAUUCGUAGAUAUCAGGAGGAACACCGGUGGCGAAGGCGACUUUCUGGCCCUAUACUGACGCUGAGACGCGAGAGCGUGGGUAGCAAACAG